AGCUCUGUAAGCGUAUACCAAAGUUGUUGCAGUUAAAACGCUCGUAGUCGGAACUUGGCAGUUUCGGAUGUGUUUACGUCGUGUGAGCACUUUGCGGGGAUUGCUUUUGUGGUAUUACGUAGGAUGAGGCACUUUUAUUAGUGAACGUCCUCACGUAACCACUUUUUACUGUGAGAAAAUCAGAGUGCUCAAAGCAGGCAUUUGCCCUGAAUGUAUUAGCAUGGAAUAAUAGAAUAGGACUUGGUUCUAUUUUGUUGGUUUGUUGGGACUGAGUAAUGAUUAAGAGGGACAGUUGGGGGCAUUUGUAUUUCGGCGCUAGAGGUGAAAUUCUUAGAUUGCCGAAAGACAAACUGCUGCGAAAGCGUCUGCCAAAGAUGUUUUCA
This 383-nucleotide ribosomal RNA is filed under the name uncultured eukaryote. Its description in RNAcentral is "SSU rRNA". It matches the Rfam family "Eukaryotic small subunit ribosomal RNA", at positions 587 to 972 of the family's 1831-position model. The record is from RNAcentral.